GACGAACGCUGGCGGCGUGCUUAACACAUGCAAGUCGAACGCUGAAGCUCAGCUUUUGUUGGGUGGAUGAGUGGCGAACGGGUGAGUAACACGUGAGUAACCUGCCCCCUUCUUUGGGAUAACGCCCGGAAACGGGUGCUAAUACUGGAUAUUCACUGGUCUUCGCAUGGGGGUUGGUGGAAAGGGUUUUUCUGGUGGGGGAUGGGCUCGCGGCCUAUCAGCUUGUUGGUGGGGUGAUGGCCUACCAAGGCUUUGACGGGUAGCCGGCCUGAGAGGGUGACCGGUCACAGUGGGACUGAGAUGCGGCCCAGACUCGUACGGGAGGCAGCAGUGGGGAAUAUUGCACAAUGGGCGCAAGCCUGAUGCAGCGACGCCGCGUGAGGGAUGGAGGCCUUCGGGUUGUGAACCUCUUUCGCUCAUGGUCAAGCCGCAACAAUGGUUGUGGUGAGGGUAGUGGGUAAAGAAGCGCCGGCUAACUACGUG
This 483-nucleotide ribosomal RNA is filed under the name uncultured bacterium. Its description in RNAcentral is "partial 16S ribosomal RNA". It matches the Rfam family "Bacterial small subunit ribosomal RNA", at positions 28 to 507 of the family's 1533-position model. The record is from RNAcentral.